This 9033-nucleotide long non-coding RNA is filed under the name Vitis vinifera (wine grape). RNAcentral describes it as "long non-coding RNA (VVIN_LNC003610)". The record is from RNAcentral. Lineage: Eukaryota; Viridiplantae; Streptophyta; Magnoliopsida; Vitales; Vitaceae.
UUGGACUGGAAACCAGAUCCAGAUGUCUUGUCAAGGGAAAGAGUGAGUAGCUCUCCAUUGUUGAGUAUCUUAGCACGCCCAUUCUCCCAAGUGAUGUCAAAGUCUUGGUUGAAGUUACCUGCUGUGGCAGCCAUUAAGAAGCUCACUGCUACAGAGAUUAGCAGGGCCAUUGAGGGAUAUGCUGUAUGGUUGGUAGGAGGUGUUUGAAGAUAAGAGUUUGAUUUCAGUGAAUUAAAAUUGAUCUCUCUCAGCUCACAUUUAUUCUAAUGGUGGAGAGAGAGGGGUUACUGUCGGGAUGGUUCGAAGUUAGAGAGCCAAAAAAUGAGUUGCAUACAGCUGGCAGUGGCAUAAGUACUCAUAAUAAUUAAUACAACCAAAAUUGCCUUAAGUGAUAUUUUUAAAAUCAUCACAAUAACGUGGUAAUAUGGUAUCGCAAUCCAAAAGUACUCAGCAAAUAUCCUUGCUUUUAACUUCUGCCGCGCCCCUUAACCAGGUCUGGAGUCCUUUCCAGUAUAUCAAAGUAGUUAAAAGCUCACAAAAGCUUAUCCUGAUCAUUUGACGUUGAUCAUUACUUGAUUCCAAUCAUUUUCUUUUUACUGUAGUAAAGCCUUUGGCUUAAGAUCCAGACCACAAAAAGGGCAUUUCAGUGUAAAAAUGUGCUGGACCACUGCUUCUUUCGGCCAUUUUUCCUAGUGUGAAGGAUUCUAAUCUCCUGAAUGCCAAAAAACAGGGAGAGAGACAAAUAGCACCUGCCCAAGCCACCAUCAUUGCCAGUUGGUAGUUCCAAGUGCAUCAGUCAGACAACAAACAAACACUGAUAGCACAAGCCGAGUUACAGCCCGAAAAAGGCAUGUGAUUCUCAUGGCUUCAAAUGCAGUUUACUUAUUAUUUGCUAUGGGUUAAGAGCAAGAAAAGAGAGAAAAAUGCCAGACAUCACAUAUCAAUGUAUUUAUUUCUGAUCUUUUAUUAUAUAUAUUGUCUAUUUAUUUUACAUUGUAACACUGAUUUCUCUCAUGUUUUUCAGUGGAAACUAAGAUGGGGAACAAGGAAAGAAUAGUACCAUGCGUCGAACGCCUUUUAAGUUACUGUGCAUUCUGUAGGAAGGCCCUGGGGGAACCGCCCUGUAUCAGCGCAGUAGUUGUAAAUCAUGUAGUUGUCCUCAACCCAUUUCAUCUUCUGCUGGUCCUUGAAAUCAAGCACUUGUGAGAGCCAUGGAGGAGAGUCCCAACUGCAAGAAGAUGUUCCAGAAUACAAUAUACAAGCAUCAGCAUUCAAGCUCCUAAAGGAAGCCGUGAAAGGAGCUUGGCUCCAGUGAGUCUUGACAAGGCCCCCCUCUUGUUGCCCAGUCAUCUGCAAUCCAUAAACUGGAGUAUAUCCCCAUAGGCUGGCUCUGUGGGAAGGGAAUGAGAGAGAUGCCAUUUUUUAGGAAAAAGGAAGGGUAAUAAUAUCCAAAAUGGGUCAUUUUAGGUUAUUAUUCCAAUUUCAAAAGUAUUUAAAAUCUUUUAACCAAAUAUAUAAUUUUUUUAAUUAUGGAUAAGACUUUUAAAAUCUCUUUGACCGCCAUAUAUGUAUUCAGAAAUCCUGAUAUUUAGAAAACUCUUUUAAUAUUUUUAACAUCUAAAAUUUAUUAUUAUUUAAGUGUUAGAAAUACUAAAACGUUUUUUAGAAUCACUUAAAUAUGCAUUAUUAAUAGAUUAAUGUUUAAGUGGAUUCUACUGUAGCUGCUUCUGGUUUGUACUAAAGGAAAUCCUUUUCAAUGUACCUUCUGUUCUUUGUCUAGUACUUUGAAAGGAUCCAUGAUAUGAGGUUGACACACUGUUACAUGCCAUUUAUGGAGAAAGUGAUCUUUUAUUGUAUGUAUAUAUACAAUGUAAACAAUGUGGUAUUUCUGUUCUUCUAAUGGCGAUUAAAAUGAUUAAGAAUGAAAGAAUUGAAUUUUGAAAUUACAGAAGCAAACAAUGAAGUGAAUGGCCUUAAGGUUGUGUUUCCUCUAUGACAUGGUGGUGGUAGUGCAUUCAGGAGGAAGGCCCUGUGGGAAUCGCUUGGUGUCAGAGCAGUAAUUGUAGAUCAUGUAAUUCUUCUGCACCCAUUUCAUUCUCUCUUGGCUUGUGGAAUCAAGCUCUUGUGAGUACCACUCUGUAUUGGUGGAGGUAGAAGUGGGAGUAUUUGAACUGCAAGAAGAAGCUCCAGAAGACCAGAUGCAAGCAUCUGCAUUGAAGUUCCUAUAGGAAGCAGUGAAGGGAGCUUGGCUCCAGUCUGUCUUGACAAGCCCACCUCUUGUUGCCCAGUCAUCUGCAUUCCAGAGACUGGAGUAUAUCCUCAUGGGCUGGUUCUUUGGGUAUGAAACACCGAUUGACUCAGAGUUCUUGAACUCCCUGAUGGGGGUGCCAUCCACAGAGAAGCUGAAACAGAGAUACCCCAGAUGAGUAAAUCAAUACAAAAACCCAAAAAACAUAAACCAGAUUGCAGUAUUGGAGAUUAGAAUAAUAGCACUUACAUAAUCCGCUGGGGAUUCCAAAGUAUGGAAUAGGUAUGGAAAUCAGCAGUUGGGUCAAACCAAAGGUAGAACUGCUGUUCUCUGUUUCCCUUGCCUUGGCUGAACACAUUAGUGUGAAGAAUGUAUGGAUCACCACUGAGAUUGCCCAGGAAUUCGAAGUCGAUUUCAUCAUGGGUUGGCCCUUGUGAAGAUAACUGCAAAUACACACAUACAUAAAUAAGAACUAUAUACUAAUCAGGAGAACAAAUUGUCAUCAAAUGGAGGAUGAUGUGCAACAAGUACUAUGAAAGGCGGGCUUACAUAAUAGGCAGUGACAGUGCCAGCAGAGUUUCCAGGAACAAGUUUGAGCUGCAUAUCAAUCUUGCCAAACAGAUACUCGUUCUUGGACUGGAAACCAGAUCCAGAGGUCUUGUCAAGGGAAAGAGUGAGAAGCUCUCCAUUGUUGAGUAUCUUAGCACGCCCGUCUCCCCAAGUGAUGUCAAAGUCUUGGUAGAAGUUACCUGCUGAGGCAGCCAUUAAGAAGCUCGCCACUACAGAGAUUAGCAGGGCUGUUGAAACAACUGAAAAAGAAGAAUAGAUGGGUGCCAUUGGCGGAUACGCUGUAUGGUUGGUCAGAGGUGUUUGAAGAGAAGAAGUUUGAAUUUAGUGACUUGAAAUUGAUCUCUCAGAGCUCCAAUUUAUACUUGGUGGGAGAGAUAUAGUGAGAUUGAGAGGGUACUGCUGGGAAGGUUCAAAGUGGGAGAACAAAGAAUGAGUUGUAUACAGAUGGCAGUGACAACCAUAUCUACAAAUGGGCUUCCACCUCCCCCCUAAUACUUUUUAAAUCAUCAGAAUCACACGGUUUUGCAAUAGAAAAGUAUUCAGGAAGUACCAUAGUUUUUAACUUCUGCCGCGUCUACCUGUCUCCCCCCCACCUCCCCCACCUCCCCCCAAAAUUGCUUUUGUCCGUUUCCAAUAUAUCAAACAGUUCAACAAAAAACAGCUCUCCAGUGUAAAAAUGUGCUGGACCAGAGCUUCCUACAUACAUCACUCCACCCACUGUCUUUCUAUGUCUAGAAAUCCUAAAUGCCAAAACAGGGAGAGAAAGAUAAGUAGCACCUGCCCAAGCCAUCAUCAUGCCCAGUUGUAAUAAAAAACAGCCCACCGUCUUUCGAAGUGCUUUUAUUGGAAACGUUCUUUCUAAAAGUACUUUUUGGGAAAAUCACAUGAAAAUGAUUUUUUAAUUUUUUAAAAGUGAUUUCUAAAUUUUAUCAAAUAUUUUAUUUUUUUCAAAAAUACUUUUAAAUUAGAAAUAAUAUUUAAAAAUAUUAUCAAACAUACACUUUAAGUUUUGACACUACAUCUUUUUUUUUUUUUUUAGAAUAUUGCUAUCUUUUAUAAUUAACUACCAUCUUUUAUAUUUUAGAGUAUUAACUUUUUAUUAUAUCUAUUGUUUUUAGAUUUAUAAGUCAUUAUGUACAAGUACUAUAUGAUACAAAUAUAAUAUUUUUUAUAAAUUAAUAAAUAUUUAUUUAUCAAUAAAUUAAUAAAUUAUUCAUUUAUAAGUAAAUCAACAAUUUAUUAAGAUUAUGUUUGGUUUUUGGAAAAUACUAAGGAAAGAAAAAAAAUGUAAAGGAAAAUAAUUUUUUCAUGUUUGAUUGUCUUAUAAAAAAUAUAAAAGAAAAUCAAAUAUAAUUAAAACUAAUUAAAAACUUAUAUAUUUUUAAAUUAUUUAAUUUUUAUAUUGAUGAGUUAAAAUAAAUAAAAUGAGUUUGAAGUAACAAAAAAAUAAUUUAUCAACUUUUAAUUUAUUUUUUUAUUUUUAUUCACUUUUUCUUUCCUUUUACUUUUUCUUUGUAUUUUCUUUCCCGUUUUCUUCAAAUUUUAUGGAACCAGGUGAUAAUUUUUCUUGGUCUCAAGAAUAGGGUUCUUAUUGAAGUUUUAAAAAGCAUACUACAAAAUUCACAGGUGGCUUAGUAUUCAUGAAUCAUAUCUCUUGUAAUAGUAACUAAUAAUCAAUCUAUCUUUCAUCAGAGAGUGAAUCAGACUCAAAAGCCAGUGAGGGAAAUGAUUGCUUUUAUGGCCAAUUAACUAUAGGGAUCAUGGAUUUGGGGGAGAAGGUUUCAUUUAGGUUAAUUUGAAACAUUGGUGAUUUUUGAUUUGUUUGUUUGCCGCCUUCAUCAUGCAUGGAGCAUUUUGAAUGAUUCAGUGCAUAGUUUUGGUGACUCUUAACUGAAGUUUCUUGCUGUUUGUGAUUGAAGUGGAAAGAAAUUAAGAUUAUUUACUCUUUAAAUUUGGUGUAAGGCCCAAUCCAUAUCUGUCAGAAGUUAAAGAACAAGCAGAAACAGAGAAAGGGCUAGAAGUUACAUUGACAAUGGUUCAUCUCCUCAGUUAUUUUCAACAAUUUUCUUUUCUUUGUCAUUCGUAAAGAAUAUUUUAUUAUUUGUAUUGUGCCAUAUAUUACAAUGUAAACAAUAUAAUAUUUCUGCUGUUGUAAUAGCAACUAAAAUGAUAAAGAAUGAAAGAAUAGAAAUGAAGAAAAUUUCAAAAGCAAACUAUCUGAUUGAAUGGGCUUAGGUUCCAUUCCUUCUAAGACAAGGUGGUGGCAGUGCAUUCAGGAGGAAGGCCUUGUGGGAAUCGCUUUGUAUCUGUGCAGUAAUUGUAGAUCAUGUAAUUCUUCUGUACCCAUUUCAUUCUCUCUUGGCUUGUGGAAUCUAGCUCUUGUGAGUACCACUGACCACUGGUGGAGGUAGAAGAGGGAGUAGUUGAACUGCAAGAAGAUGCUCCAGAAGACCAAAUGCAAGCAUCUGCAUUGAAGUUCCUAUAGGAAGCAGUGAAGGGGGCUUGGCUCCAGUCUGUCUUGACCAGCCCACCUCUUGUUGCCCAGUCAUCAGCAUUCCAGAGGCUGGAGUAUAUCCUCAUGGGCUGGUUCUUGGGAUAUGAAACACCUAUGGACUCAGAGUUCUUGAACUCUCUGAUGGGGGUGCCGUCCACUGAGAAGCUGAAACAGAGAUACCCCAGAUGAUUGAGCCAAUUAAGAAACCAAAAAAAAAAAAAAAACAUAAACCAGAUUUCACUAUUGGGGAUUAAUUACUGUACUACUUACAUAAUCCGCUGGGGGUUCCAAAGGAUGGAAUAGGUGUGGAAAUCAGCAGUUGGGUCAAACCAGAGGUAGAAUUGCUGCUCUCUGUUGCCCUUGCCCUGGCUGAACACAUUAGUGUGAAGAAUGUAUGGAUCACCACUGAGAUUCCCCAAGAAUUCGAAGUCUAUCUCAUCAUGGGUUGGCCCUUGUGAAGAUAGCUGCAAUUACACAAACCAGAAUGGUGAUUUGUGAGUCAGGAGAAGAUGAAACCAAGAAAGCAUUUGAUGGAAAAGCACUUGGUAAAGAGGAGGCUUACAUAGUAGGCAGUGACAGUGCCAGCUGAGUUACCAGGCACAAGCUUCAGCUGCAUAUCAAUCUUUCCAAACAGAUACUCAUUCUUGGACUGGAAGCCAGAGCCAGAGGUUUUGUCAAGGGAGAGAGUGAGAAGCUCUCCAUUGUUGAGUAUCUUGGCACGGCCAUCACCCCAAGUGAUUUCAAAAUCCUGGUACAAGUUACCAACAGAAGCAACCACAAAGGAACCGAGCAGAAGAGAGACCAAGAACAACUUUGGUGAAAGAUUCCAAGUAGAAGGAGAAGCCAUUGAAUGUGAAUUUAGAGACGAGAAAUGGAAGUAGUUUUGAGCGUGGAAGUGAAGAGAAUGGCGUGGGUAUGUGGGGGUUUUAUAGUAGGUGUCGUGGGGGAAAGUGGAAGGAGAUCGAGAAGAAGGUUCAGUCAGCAGCUGUACACGGUUGAAGAUGUAAAGACAACAGUUGUCAUCAAAUAGCAAAACCCAGUUCAUUUUCACGCGGAUUUUGCAUGGAUUUAAAAGAGAAAAGUGCAGAUCCACUUUCCCAUUUCCCAAGCACCAUUCAUCGCUCAUAACUAAAGCCACCACCGCCACUGAGUAAAAAACAAAAGCGAAUCAAACCCUUGAAACCGUGUCUCUCAUUAUUAUUUUUCAUCUCCAGUUGUAUCCGAAAAAGAAUCACCAAGCCCACAAAUAAAGUCAUAAUAGUAGGAGCCAGUAACAGCCCAAAAGCUCUGUGCUUCGAUGAAACCACCAUCUACUUGGUUUCCUGAAAAGAACUACUCACUGCCCUCUGCUCAACUAAUUUUUAAUUGUGAUGGGUUGGCUUAGAGUUUAAAUUUUAAAACUCAUGGAUCAAGGGGUGGGCCAUGUGCUUGAAGGCUUAAACCAACUGGUUACGAUAUUUCUUUUGGACAAUGUUAGAAUAUCUUAUACUAAUGCGGUGUUUGUUUUUUUACUUAAUUUUAAAUAGAAUCUUAAUACUUAAUAAUGUUAAAUAUUAAAUUAUUUAUUUUUAUAGUAUUUUAUUUUUAUUAAGUAUUAAAAAUUAAAAAAAAAUCAAUAUAUUAUUUUUUUUAUUUAAAAAAAACUACAUAUUUUUUAUUUAGUAAAAUGUUUAUAAUAAGUUAUGAAAAAAUAGAAAAUCAAACAACCUAAAUUUUGAAAACAAAUUACUUUUAGUAAAAAAAAAAAAAAAAAAUACCACCUAAGUAUCUUACUUCUUGAGCCAUUAUUUUGAUGACGUUGACAUUGUUACAAUUGCCAAUAGCUUUUUAUAUGGUUCAAGUCAAACCAACAGGUCACAAAUCAACACAAUUUAAGCAUUAUUCAAAACUGUUUUAAGGAUAGAUUUUCAAAACUCUUCUAUAAAGAAUAAAAAUUUGUUUGAGAAUUUAAAAUAUUUUUUUUAUAACUUUCAAUAUUUUAAAAAUAAUUUAUUUUUAAUCAUUAUUUAUAUUUGUAUAAUUAUUUUUUAAAAUAAUUUUUGAAAAAUAAGCCAAAACAAUUGAAAUAAUUAAAAGAUAUUAUUUGAAACCAAUUUUUAGAAAUAUAAAACUAUCUUUUUUUAAUAUUUGGUUGUUAAACAUGUUUUCCUCUUCUUUUUUUAUUUUUAUUUUUUUUUAUCAUGGAAACAUAAAACCAUUUUAAAAAGUAAUUUCCAAAUAAUACCUAAAUCUUGGGUGACAACAUUAUGUUUACUAAUUUCGGUAGGGAAAGGAGGGCAGCUGUUGAAAAAGAGGUCAUAUUUUUUAUUUUCCUUAUUAUUUUUCAAAACCAAAUAUAAUGUAGAAACAAUAGUAUUGUGAUUUCACUCUCUUCGUUACUUUGUGGGGUUCAACAUUGAGGUUGAGAUAAUGAUAUACAUGCCAUUCAUUGAGAAAGUAAUCUUUGUUGUAUUCAUGUAUUACAUUGUCAACAAUGUGGUGUUUCUGAAAUUCUGAUGGCAACAAAAACGAUAAAGAAUGAAAGAAUAUAAUUUUGAAAUUAUAGAGGCAAACAACGAAGUGAAUGGCCUUAGGUUCUGUUCCCUCUAGGACAUGGUGGUGGCAGAGCAUUCAGGAGGAAGGCCCUGUGGGAAUCUCUUUGUGUCUGCGCAGUAAUUGUAGAUCAUGUAAUUCUUCUGCACCCAUUUCAUUCUCUCUUGGCUUGUGGAAUCUAGCUCUUGUGAGUACCAUCCCCCAUUGGUGGAGGUAGAAGAUGGAGAGGUUGAACUGCAAGAAGAUGAUCCAGAGGACCACAAACAAGCAUUGGCAUUGAAGUUCCUGUAGGAGGCUGUGAAUGGUGCUUGGCUCCAGUCUGUCUUCACAAGCCCGCCUCUUGUUGCCCAGUCAUCGGCAUUCCAGAGACUGGAGUAUAUCCUCAUGGGCUGGUUCUUCGGGUAUGGGACACCUAUGGAUUCAGAGUUCUUGAACUCUCUGAUGGGGGUGCCAUCCACAGAGAAGCUGAAACAGAGAUGCCCCAGAUGAGCAAAUCAAUACGAAAACCCAAAAAACAUAAACCAGAUUGCAGUUUUGGAGAUUAGGAUAAUAGUACUUACAUAAUGCGCUGGGGAUUCCAGAGGAUGGAAUAGGUGUGGAAAUCAGCAGUUGGGUCGAACCACAGGUAGAACUGCUGCUCUCUAUUUCCCUUGCCUUGGCUGAACACAUUAGUGUGGAGGAUAUAGGGGUCCCCACUGAGGUUCCCCAGGAAUUCAAAGUCGAUUUCAUCAUGGGUUGGCCCUUGUGAAGAUAACUGCAAUUACACACAUACAUGAAUGAGAACUACAUACUAAUCAGGAGAACAUAUCAUCAAAUGGAGGAUGAUGGGCAACAACUAAUAUGAAUGGGGAACUUACAUAGUAGGCUGUGACAGUGCCAGCAGAAUUUCCAGGGACCAGUUUGAGCUGCAUAUCAAUCUUGCCAAAGAGAUACUCAUUCUUGGACUGGAAACCAGAUCCAGAGGGCUUGUCAAGGGAAAGAGUGAGAAGCUCUCCAUUGUUGAGUAUCUUACCACGUCCAUCCCCCCAAGUGAUAUCAAAGUCUUGGUAGAAGUUACCUGCUGAGGCAGCCAUUAAGAAGCUCACCACUACAGACAUUAGCAGGGCUGUUGAAACAGCUGAAGAAGAAGAACAGAUGGGUGCCAUUGAGGGAUAUGCUGUAUGGUUGGUAGGAGGUGUUUGAAGAGAAG